This 545-nucleotide ribosomal RNA is filed under the name Triops granarius. Its description in RNAcentral is "partial 12S ribosomal RNA". Lineage: Eukaryota; Metazoa; Arthropoda; Branchiopoda; Notostraca; Triopsidae. The record is from RNAcentral.
AGAGAGUGACGGGCGAUGUGUACACACUUCAGAGCUCAUUUCAAAAAAGAAUUUUAUUCUUAAUUUACUACUAAAUCCACCUUCAUAAAAUUAAUUACAAUCAUUAAUCCGUAUAAAUUUAAAUUAUUGUAACCCACUACUUCCAUGCCUAUAAGCUGCACCUUGACCUGAAGUCCUAAUUAACAAUUAAUUAGAUUAUAUUCUUUAAAAAUAAUCAGACAACGGCGGUAUACAAACUGAAAACAAAAACAUGUACAUUAAAACGUGGAUUAUCGAUCCAAGAGCAGGUUCCUCUAGUAAGAAUGAAGUACCGCCAAAUUCUUUAAGUUUAAAAAAUUUUACUACCCAGGCAAAUAAUUUAAUAAGGAAUAGUAGGGUAUCUAAUCCUAGUUUAUAACCUAAUCUUUAAAGAUUACAUAUUUUUCUAUAACUUUUUAUUUAAAGAAUUAAAAAUUUUACUUUUGAUUCAUUAUUUAAAAAAUUUAUUCAAAAUUAUAAUUUACUUAAUUCCACCAAUCUAUCUCAUUCAAAUCCUUCGUAUAACC